This 841-nucleotide ribosomal RNA is filed under the name uncultured bacterium. RNAcentral describes it as "bacterial SSU rRNA". It matches the Rfam family "Bacterial small subunit ribosomal RNA", at positions 92 to 927 of the family's 1533-position model. The record is from RNAcentral.
UCAGCGGCGGACGGGUGAGUAAUGCCUAGGAAUCUGCCCGAUAGUGGGGGACAACGUUUCGAAAGGAGCGCUAAUACCGCAUACGUCCUACGGGAGAAAGUGGGGGAUCUUCGGACCUCACGCUAUCGGAUGAGCCUAGGUCGGAUUAGCUAGUUGGUGAGGUAAUGGCUCACCAAGGCGACGAUCCGUAACUGGUCUGAGAGGAUGAUCAGUCACACUGGAACUGAGACACGGUCCAGACUCCUACGGGAGGCAGCAGUGGGGAAUAUUGGACAAUGGGCGAAAGCCUGAUCCAGCCAUGCCGCGUGUGUGAAGAAGGUCUUCGGAUUGUAAAGCACUUUAAGUUGGGAGGAAGGGCUGUCGGCUAAUACCCUGCAGUUUUGACGUUACCAACAGAAUAAGCACCGGCUAACUUCGUGCCAGCAGCCGCGGUAAUACGAAGGGUGCAAGCGUUAAUCGGAAUUACUGGGCGUAAAGCGCGCGUAGGUGGUUCAGCAAGUUGGAUGUGAAAGCCCCGGGCUCAACCUGGGAACUGCAUCCAAAACUACUGAGCUAGAGUACGGUAGAGGGUGGUGGAAUUUCCUGUGUAGCGGUGAAAUGCGUAGAUAUAGGAAGGAACACCAGUGGCGAAGGCGACCACCUGGACUGAUACUGACACUGAGGUGCGAAAGCGUGGGGAGCAAACAGGAUUAGAUACCCUGGUAGUCCACGCCGUAAACGAUGUCAACUAGCUGUUGGGUUCCUUGAGAACUUAGUAGCGAAGCUAACGCGAUAAGUUGACCGCCUGGGGGAGUACGGCCGCAAGGUUAAAACUCAAAUGAAAUUGACGGGGGCCCGCACA